This 406-nucleotide ribosomal RNA is filed under the name uncultured bacterium. Its description in RNAcentral is "partial 16S ribosomal RNA". It matches the Rfam family "Bacterial small subunit ribosomal RNA", at positions 28 to 526 of the family's 1533-position model. The record is from RNAcentral.
GAUGAACGCUGGCAGAAUGCUUAACACAUCAGCAAUUGAUUGGUGGCGGACGGGGAAGUAACGCGUAUAGAACUUACCUCACAGAGAGGGACAGGAUUUGUACACGAAUGCUAAUACCUAAUCCUGUGACAGAGCGUUGCGUCCCAUUAGCUAGUUGGAGAGGUAACGGGUCACCAAGGCGAUGAUGGGUAGCCGGCCUGAGAGGGUGAUCGGCCACAAGUGGACUGAGACACGAGCAUUAGUGCUACGGGAGGCAGCAGUGGAGAAUAUUGGACAAUGGACCAAAGUCUGAGCAAGCAAUUCGGGGUGCACGAUGAAGUUUUCGGAAAGUAAAGUGCUUUCAGUUGGGAAGCGGUACCAACAGAAGAAGUGACGGCUAAAUACGUGCCAGCAGCCGCGGUAAUUC